RNAcentral lists this transfer RNA (72 nucleotides) under Ovis aries (sheep). Its description in RNAcentral is "tRNA-Ala (AGC) (tRNA-Ala-AGC-19-1)". It matches the Rfam family "tRNA". Rfam says of the family: Transfer RNA (tRNA) molecules are approximately 80 nucleotides in length. Their secondary structure includes four short double-helical elements and three loops (D, anti-codon, and T loops). Further hydrogen bonds mediate the characteristic L-shaped molecular structure. tRNAs have two regions of fundamental functional importance: the anti-codon, which is responsible for specific mRNA codon recognition, and the 3' end, to which the tRNAs corresponding amino acid is attached (by aminoacyl-tRNA synthetases). tRNAs cope with the degeneracy of the genetic code in two manners: having more than one tRNA (with a specific anti-codon) for a particular amino acid; and 'wobble' base-pairing, i.e. permitting non-standard base-pairing at the 3rd anti-codon position. Lineage: Eukaryota; Metazoa; Chordata; Mammalia; Artiodactyla; Bovidae. The record is from Rfam by way of RNAcentral.
GGGGGUAUGGCUCAGUGGCUGAGAACAGGCUUAGCAUGCAUGAGACCCUGGGUUCAAUCCCCAGUACCUCCA